This 10684-nucleotide long non-coding RNA is filed under the name Homo sapiens (human). RNAcentral describes it as "HSALNT0193076". The record is from RNAcentral. Lineage: Eukaryota; Metazoa; Chordata; Mammalia; Primates; Hominidae.
UUCAGAUCUAUACGUAUGAAAUACAAGACAUAUGUGUUCAACUUUCCUUCAUCGCCUCCUUUAAACUUUCUUUUUUCUUUUUUGAGUCAGUCCCUGCAGGAACAGACCAAGUGAGCCCAUUAAGAGAACAGUUCAUUCCCACCUGCUACCUCGAGCCAGCCAACAAUCUCAGCCUCACCACUCCAUUCUUGAUUAUGUAGAACCAUUCCAAUCCUGAGUGACAGGAUUUGCAAAGACAGCUGUUGGGCUCCACAAACAUUUGGAGGAGGGGAAAAUGUGAGGUUGGUUGCUACAUUCUCCUACUUCUUUUUACUGAAAGGAACAGCUGCGAUCUUCACAUGUAAGAUGAAGUAAACAAAAGCUGACAAUGCCCAGCACCAUUCAGCAGUAAGCAUUCAAAUGGAUUUUUCCUCACCGCGUUUGCAGGCCCGGCACAGUCUCAGUUCCCCACAGCACAGAGAGGAAGCAAGGUCUUUGCAUGCCCUGUUCACUUGGCCAAACAUUGCCCUAGAUGUGCAAUUCAACCCAUAUAAAGCAAGCGUAAUUCAAGAGCCCUGACUCUUUCACCAUUUCAUGAUGGCUUAUUACUCGCACACGGCAUUGUCAGGUUCCAGCAACUCUGUGUGCAGCAGGCAGAAAUGCAGUGUUUAUCUCUGACAGGCAAACAUUCUUAGGCUCAUCGGCAUGAGUAUCCACGCUGAACUGGCUAUCGGGGAAGUAGAUCCCUGCAUGGGAAAGUCAAGUAUCCCCACUGUGUAGAGCUGGUCCACAAUGGAGAGGAGGAAAAGUUUUGCAUUGGACCAAAUCACUGCCUUAGAAGGAAAGAGAUUGCAAUCCCAUUCAUUUUUAAGAUCUGCAAUGGGUUGGGAUGAUACCCAUUUAAAAAAGAAAAAAAAAGAGGUUACCUCUUUGGCCUCUUUGGCAAAGGAUAUGAACUAGUAAUAAAGCCUCAGCAUCAAGGCUUGGGAGUCUGGCUCAAAGUGGCUAAGACUAGAAGCAUCUUCUAACAUAAAUAUGGCAGCAUUAGGAAAAUAGCUUGGCCUUUAGAGAGACCCAGAUUAUCUUCACCUUAAAAACUACCAAGACCCUGGUCCAGCAAGACCACCAUCACAGCAGUAAAUACAUAGCCACCAACUUCACAGAAGGUUUUCCACUGAGACAUUGUGAAAACCACAAUCCAUUACCGGUGGAUGAGUCCCAGCUCUCUUACUACCUGGAGCUUCCAAGCAAGACUUACCUGUCCUUUGUUCCAGAUUGGUUCCUGGGAUCCUGGACCAACACAAAGAGAAGAGGAAAGCCUCAAGGGAAAUAAAAGUGAAGGUUUCAGUGAUAGUUUAAAUAUAUAUUUUUAAAUGUUAGCUUUUUUUUAAAUACUUCACAGUGAUGGAUGGAGUAUUUCAACCACAAUGGCAAAGAAUGAAUUACCGGCAGUGUCAGAGUUUCUUGUUGCUGUGGGAAGACAGCUGCCAUGUUGAGAGGUGCCUUGUGGAGAGGCUCAUGUGGCGAGGAACUGAGACUGGCUUCUAUCCAACAACCAGUGAGGAACUAAGGCCCUAAAGUCCUAUAGUCCACAAGGAACUAAAUCCUACCAACAACUACAUGAGUGAGCCUGGAAUCUGAUUUUCCCCAGUGGGGACUUAAGGUACCUACAACCUGGCUGUUAUGGGCUAAACUGCAUCCUGCCCAAAUUUAUAUGUUUGAGUCUUAACUCCCAGCACUUCAGAACAUGGUUUUGUUUGGAGACAUAGUCAUUAAAGAGGUAAUGAAGUUAAAAUGAGGUCAUUAGGAUGAGUCCUAAUCCAAUAGGACUGGUGUUCUUAUAUGAAGAGGAAAUUUGAACACAGACACAUAUACAGGAAAGACCAUGCGAAGAAGACACAGAGAGGAAACGGCCAUCUACAAUCCAAGGAGAGAGGCCUCAGAACAAGCCAACCCUGCAGAUACCUUGAUCUAGGCAUCCAGAAUUGUAUGAAAAUACAUUUUUGUUAUUUAAGCUACCCAGUCUGUGGUGCUUUGUUAUGGCAAUCCCAGAAAACUAAUUAACUAAUUGACUGCAGCCUUGCAAGGGACCCUGAACCAGAGGACCCAGUUAAGCCAUGUGCAGAUUCCUGACUCACAGAACUAGGAGAUAACAAAUGUUUGUUGUUCUAAGGUGCUAAAUGUUGGGAAAAUAUGUUAUGUGGCUAUGUUGUUUUGCACAUGUGCCACAUAAUGAUGUUUUGGUCAACAACAGACCACACAUAUGAUGGUGGGCCCAUAAGAUUGUAAUACUGUGUUUCUAUUAUGCAUUCUCUAUUUAUAGAUACACAAAUACUUGCCACUGUGUUACAAUUGCCUACUGUCUUCAGUACUGUAACAUGCUGUACAGGUUUGUAGCCCAGAAGCAAUAGACUAUACCAUACAGUCUGGGUGUGUAGUAGGCUAUACCAUCUAUGUUUGUGAAGUACACUCUAUGAUGUUCACAUAAUUAUGAAGUUGCCUAGUGAUGCAUUUCUCAGAAUGCAUGCCCGACAUUAAGUGACACUUGGCUUUAUGUCUAUCAUGCAUUUAAGAUAUUGCAAUAUAGUUAACUUAUGUUUUAAUACACCUCUUAAUUCUGUUUUGAUCCCACACCAACCAAGAUGCAAAACUAAUUUUUUCGCCCAUUUCCAUAAAAAACACAAUUACAAUGGGCCUAAUGUGGUUUAUGUCAUUUUCCCUGAAGAUUUGUGGUGGUAUAGGAAGCAGUCACAGCACCCUGUAUAAAGCUCUUCCAUGGCCUGCCCCCUUUUCGCAGUCACCUCUAUUAUUUGAAGGAAUGGUCCAACCAACCUCAAAGCUCUGGAAAUUUGCCCCAAAAUAAUUUUACCCUGAAGCCAUUGAAGCUUAAGUUUCAGACCCCAGUUUCACAUUCCUGUGAGUUCUGCAAGUCACUGGGAGCUAUAGAGUCUUCUACGUAGAUUUGGGAAACAAGGUGAAAAUACCUCAAGAAAUCUCAGAAGCCAGGGGCCUGCAUCUCCAAGCCUCUGGCAAUUUUCUUGUGGUUUCUAUCCUCACUCUAGAUAUUUGCUUUUGAGACUGAUUUUGAAUUCAGAAUUUUAUAUUCUCUCAAAAAGAGAAUUCUCCAAAUUCUAUAAGCUUCAGGCUCUACAAAACUUGUCUAUUCUGCCUAACUAGAUUUAUCAUAGCACGUACCAAAGAUGGCCCUGCCUCAUGAGGACUUUUCAUAUCAGACCCUUAGAUAAUAAUAUUCCCUCAUGUAAGUAAUAAUAUUUCCGCAUGUAGUUAUGUAUGAAUAAUUUUCAUUCAUCUAUAUCAUGUUGGCCAUAGUCAGUGUCCAUGUCCAAUUUAUUUUUUGUGUCCUUGGUGCUCAGAAAGUUACCAGAUGUUCAGUCAGAAUUUUAUUUAAAAUAUUUUGAUGAACUAGAUUUAAAGAUAGAUUAAAUUAAUUCCUACACAUGAUUUAAUUUAAUGGAUAAAAUAAGGGACUGAGCAUUAGCCUGAACUGUGUACUUGCAUUAGCCCUGAUGUUCCCCAGAGGGAAUAAUAUGUGAAGAAUACUGCAUAGGCUGAAAAACAAGAGUUCCCAGCAGACCAAUAUUCUUUCUUUCUGCAAGCUGUGAGACACCUGGGGAAAGUUCUCCACAUUUGGUUUUUCAGCUACUCCACCCAUGACUAGAAGGAAGAUUUUAUUUUAUUAUUUUAUUUUAUUGUAUUUUUUAACAGUAAAAGAAAAAUUAUUGUUAUUUUAAUGAAAAAGAACCACCUGGAAAGUCUAGUGACAUUUUUGAAGGCAGGGACCACUUUUUCCAGGGAUUUGUUUCCCUAUGCUAGUGCUCCAUUCACCCUUGCACCACUUCAGCAAAGCACAUAGUAGGUGUAGCAGGGAGAUGUUAAGAUGGAAACUUGGCCCUGACCAUAGGCCAAGCCAGGGUGUCUAGUCGGGAUUUAUCCAUAAACAUCAAUAUUUAUCACUAGAUGAUAUAUUGAUUUCUUAUCUGCCUCCUAUACCUAUUGAUCUAUUUUUCACAGCUUAUAGUGGGGAGGGUCAUGUUCAGUUAUUAUCCUUAAACCAAAACAAUCUCUUCUUGAAAAAUAGGAUGCUAUGCUCUGAUGUUUGCAGAGGCCAGGAAAUUCUUGCUCUGAGAGUUCCAGAAAAAAAGAUUUGUCCAGAUUUGAACUAAUUUCAGAAAAACAAAACAAAAACAAAAAACCAUCCAAGGUUAAGAGGUGACUUCUGACUCACAGAAUGAACAAGAAGGCAGGGGAAAAAAUAAGUCCCCCAAGAUUCAGGUCAAAGGAAAUGAACAGAAGGAUGAUGGAGUGGCCCAGAGGAGGAUCACGUGACAGAAAAGUCAAGAUAAAUUAGUGGCAGGACAGAGGAAAAGAACUAAAGACCUGCAGGAUCCUGAAAGAAAGAAUGAAAGGAAGCAGAUGAAGAUUCUAGAGCCCAGCUGAAUAGCCAGGCCGCCUGAGGGUAAAGAGGGAGAGAAAGAGGAAGCAGUGAAUCAAAUCAAAAAAGGAUAGAAAAAUACAGAGAAACAAGCCAGGGCACGGUGGCUCUCACCUGUAAUCCCAGCACUUUGGGAUGACAAGGAAGGCGGAUCACAUGAGGCCAGGAAUUUGAGACCACGCUGGCCAACAUGGCAAAACCCUGUCUCUACUAGAAAAAUAUGGAGGAAUGUUUGAGAGAUUGUGCACUGCCAGGGGUGAGGACAUAAAUUUAUUUGCUAUGUGAAUGUUUUUUGAGACUCAUCUAGUUCCUUUACAAUUUUAAUUUAGAAUUUCUUUAGCUCCAAAUCAGGAUCAUUAGCUGGGAGUUCUUAUAAAUCAAAAGCAAAACAAAGCUAUUGCAAACAAGUGGGAGUUCUCAUAACCUUAAUCAGAAAGGCUUGAGUUGCAUUUCCAAAUCCUGUCUCUAGAGACCAUGAGUUUUUAAUGAUAGUAUUUCCAUGAAAGCCCAAUUGAAUACAAUCACCACCCAGACCAAAGUGUAGGGGAAAUCAUAAAGCUACUUUCAAAUCCGAGUCUUCUUUGAAAUUUAAAAUUAUAUUCCAUGAUAAUGGUUCUCAUAAACCUUAAUGCAAGGGAAAAAAAAAAAACUACAGCAGAAUAAAGAAGAUUUAAAAAGAAGCAGGAUAGGAAAAAAGACAAGCCAGAGGCUAGCUAUAUCUUUUCAUAAAGCACACCUGGUCUCAUAAGCACAUGAGAGCUAGGCCCAGAAGUUUCGAGCCUUGGAGACUCACUUCAAACAAAUUCCAGGGAAAGACACUCAAUUAAGUGUUCAGGACAAUUGUAUAUCCCCAGUGCACUCAUGUACUGGAAGUGCUUAAACUCUGCCCUCAGUGGUCAAUAAAAUGGUAUUAAGUCACAGACAACCCAUUGCCAUUGGUAUUGGCUGAUGUCUCUGGUAGUUUAUGUGAUGACAAACAUUAGCCUUAACAGCAGAGCCUUCCUUUCUUUGAUUUCCGUGUGAAAUUCUGUGGCUGGGAGAUGUUUAUGUUCACAUGAACAUAACUGUAAGCAAACCAUCUUAUGGUAGACAUCUCUCCAGAAAAAGCAAAUUCCAUCUUUUUAAAUAGAAAAAAAAAACAGCAGCAAAAUGAAAUUAAUGCCUUUGGCUCAUUGUGUUGUAAAAUUAUCCUUGAAGUUAUUUCACACUGCCCUAAAAAAUCAUUGAAUUCAGAUUAUAACACAGCUCUUAUGAAGCUGUUAGGCAGUUGCAUCUUUAAUGAGGCUGAGUAGGUAAGAGGAACAGAUACUCUAGAUUGAAAGCCAUCGCAAAAAAUGUGAAACAACUGUAUUAAAUUUAAUUUAAUUUAACCAAUGGGUGUAUUUAUUCCCUGCCUUCUUCCAGAAAGGAUUUAGGGAGCUUAGGUAAUGUGGAGGUCUGAAGGUGUAGAUACUCAUGAAAGCCUCAGAUUAAUAUCUAGAACAUAUAAUGUGUCCAGAUAGUUUUCAAUUAUCAAUGCAUUAAUCUAAGCUUGGAAAGGACUUUUAAACUGCAAUGAAACCUCAACUAGUUUCAAACCUGCAUUUUUUAGUAAGCUAUUUUGUCAUUUGGAGACCCACACAAAAAACCUAUUGUUCCUUUAAAAAGGAGAGAGAGAAAAAAAGAAAAACAACCUGCUGGUGUUGCUUUGUUCAUCUUAUCACCUUAUCAUUCAGCAGCCUAUUCAGGAUCAAAUGUGGGAAAGUCUGUGUGUGAGAUUAAGCCCUAUACUCAGCACAGGAAUUUCUUGGAUAAAUGUCUUUCUUAAAUGGAUAGCUAUGUAAAAAACAGAAGAGAAACUCUAUUAUUACAAUGCAGUUGGGUUUUUUUGUUUGGUAUGUUUCAAAUCUAAUAUUUAAAAUUAAGAAAAUUCAAAGCAAACCAUCUGUGUGGAUGUUUUCAUACUCCAUUUUUGUGACAAUAGCUUGCUUAACCGAGAUUAUUAGUGGAUUCUUUCAAUAAGAGGAAGAGAGUACCAUCAUUAAGAUGGUAUGCCUCCACUAGCCUUUAUUUUUGAGAUUAAAGAAUGACAAAAAUAUUUAUAUAUAUUUUUUCAUUAUUAAGACGGAGUCUCACUCUAUCGCCAAGGCUGGAGUGCAGUGGCGCCAUCUUGGCUCACUGCAACCUCUGCCUCCCAGGUUCAAGCAAUUCUCCCACUUCGGCCUCCUGAGUAGCUGGGAUCACAGGCACCCGCCACCACACCUGGCUAAUUUUUGUAUUUUUAGUAGAGAUGGGGUUUCACCACAUUGCCCAGGCUGGUCUCAAAUUCCUGACCUCAAGUGAUCCGCCUGCCUCAGCAUCCCACAGUGCUGGGAUUACAGGCAUGAGCCACCACAACUAGCCAAAAAAUAUAUAUUUUCUUUAAAAAAAAGUUAUUUUCUGCCUAAUUACUUCAAUAUUUCAUGAACAUUGUGGGGGAAAGAAUAUUCAUACAGUUCUCUAAAUAUAUCAGUGAGUUGAGGUACCAAAUACAGAAUUCUAUUGAAUUCUAAUUGCAACACUGAAGCAGACUUACUCUAAGAUCCUGCUACCUGGACUAACCACAGACUAUACCCAGAUUCCAUCUGCAAGAUGUAGUGGAGCCAAACAUCACAUCACUGAGGAAUAUUUAUUAUAUAUCUUUCUGUAGAGGUGAGAGAGUAUUUAUAGAUAUAACAAACAAUUGGUCAGAUACUACUGGAGAUUUGGAAGCUUCACUAGGUUUUUCACUAAAUUUGUUGAUAGCCAACUCUAAAGCUCAUUCUACUACUACUAGCCAUCUUCCCUUGGACAAUUUCAUGGGCAUCGCUUCACUGAAAAGAAAAAUGACUAGCAAACAAGACUCAGCUUUGGAGACAAGAAGAAGGAAUACAGGAGAUGUUUCCUUGAAUGAGUCUUCUUCCUAAACUCUGCUAGAAGUAUGUCAGAAAGCGAAGGUUACCUCAGUCUCCAAGUCAUGAAAACAUGAGGUCUUUCUGUUUUCUAGGGAAAGUAUUUCAUCAUUUCCUAGUGUGGCUUUUUGCACACCCCAGAAGGAGGAAGACAAGCCAUCGUGUCACCUUUACAUGGUAGUUGAGAUGCUUCACAUUUGUACAUAACAUCUUAUAUGAUCGAAAGAGGAACUCAAACUCGACAGGGGAGAAUAAGGAAAUACAUCUAAAACUGACAAUUAUGUUAAUCCCUCAAUUCCCUGGGCCCCCAAAAUAGUCUCCUCUAUUUGCCAUUUCAAAAUAGCUAAUGAGAGGGUAAUUGGACAUGUAGACACUGAAUUUCCACUGCUCAUGGUUUCCUUCCCUGGGCUCCCAGUCACCCGGAAGGCCCCGGAUUACCUCAAAUGUCAUAACGGGUUCAUCGCAUUACGAAUUACCUCCUUCUGCCAAUAAACUACAAGUUCUUUGAGGACAGAAACUGUGAUUUAUGGGCAUUUGUAUCCCCAGAGAUUCAAAGAGUGCCUGAUACAGAGUGGUGAUAGAUGAUUUUAUCAUCUUAUCAUCAUCAUCCUCAUCAUCGUUGUACCUAAAUAGAGGUUACUUCCUGUUUCUUUUAUUUAACAAUAACCUAUUAUAAUAUAUACUAUGCAUUUUUAAUGCACUUUACAAAUAUUGUCCUCAUUUAAUCCCUGUAAGGUGAAUACUAUUAUUGGCUCCAUUUUGCAGAUAAGACACUGAGUCGUGAAAAGGCUAAGUACCUCACACAAGAUCACACAGCCAGUGACAGAACUAGGAUUUGGCUGGACUCUUAAAGACUCUGGUUUGCCAUUUAAAGGUACGCUGAGCUCCACAACACUGCCUUAGAACUUGCUCAGAGCAAUUGUCAUAUUACUAUGGUAGGUUUCCCUGUCUCCCUUAAGACUUAAAGCUUCUGGAGAUCAGAAACUGUAUUGUUUACUUGCAAAAUCAUGGGCUUAGGAGCCAGAAAGAUCUCGAUCUAAGUCCUGCCUCAUCUGCUUCUUCUUCAUGGGAUUAGUAGACUGAUUUUCCCCUUGCUUAGCCAUGCAGUUUGAAUGGAAUUCACCCCAUUCUCAGCUACAACCACGGAUCUUGUUUGCUUUAAACCAAUCAUCACUGCCCAAUUUUCUGGCCUUUGAUUGAUUUAAAGGUGAACACAUGACCGCUUUGGACCAAUGAGGCUCAGGUGGUAUUUUGUGAGGGUCUCUGGAAUAGAAAAUCAUUUCUCUUCUGACAGAACUACAAGGCAAGGCGCAAUCACUGAUGGUGAAAGAUAAAGAUCAUUAUAUUAGGAACUGUUGGCUGUCAUACUGCUAAUGUGAGGUGAGUUAGCCUUAGAAAGAGGAUGCUACCUUGAAAGGCAGGGCAGAUCUAUGGAAAUAAACUGAGUUUGUGGUGACAUUGAUAGCCACUUUAGUUCAUCAGCUGAAUCCCAAUCUACUUGGUUUUUUCAGCUCUGUAAGCCAACAAAUACCCUGCUAGUGUUUUAGCCUAUGCCAGUUGUUUUUUCUGCUGCUUGUUAAUAAGACACAUACAGUCUUGGACAAAUUAUAUAAAAAUAUGAAUCUUUGGCCAGGCAUGGAGGCUCACGCCUGUAAUCCCAACACUUUGGGAGGCCGAAGCGGUCGGAUCACAGGGUCAGGAGUUCGAGACCAGCCUGGCCAAUAUGGUGAAACCCCGUCUCUACUAAAAAUACAAAAAUUAGCUGGAUGUGGUGGCACAUGCCUGUUGUCCCAGCUACUCAGGAGGCUGAGGCAGAAGAAUCGCUUGAACCCGGGAGGCAGAGGUUGCAGUGAGCUGAGAUCAUGCCACUGAACUCCAGCCUGGGAGACAGAAUGACACUCGGUCUCAAAAAAAAAAAAAAAUUCUGAAUCUUUGAAUGUUAUCGUAUAGCUUUUUAAAAGACUAGAUUAAGCUAUGGAUGUAAGCACCAAUGCAUUUUUUUAAAAGUAUAUUGGAUGAAUGAGUUAAAGUCUAAGUGAAUUCAGCAAGUUUGUAACCCUUGAGCUCUUGUGAGCUCAAUCUGCCCUCAAUCAUCUGAGAAUGAACAAAACAGACUCAACCAUUUUGUGUCAUCCAGAUGAAUAGAAAGGGCCUGAAUAUAUUCUUUUUUUAUAUUUUUUGUCAUAGGCCCUAGCGUUUUCAUCUGCUCAGUUUUUGAGUGUGCUUGUUAGGGCUUUAAUGCUAAACUCAAUGUAAGCUGGGUUUAUGUAAUUUAGUGGUUUCUAGACUUAGGCUUCCUAAAUGUUCCAUUAGACAAGAAGACAAAAUAUGAAACAAAAUAACAUCAAACUACCAUUAACAAUUAGCAUUGUCAGAGUCAGUAAAAACUGUUUUGAAAUAAAGCAGCUUUUCAGGCCAGUAUUUGAGAACUAAUGAUAGAGUUUUUUUGUAGGCAAUGAAUGAAGUGUUGUGGAACAAAUGUGGAUUUGGACUUUCAAGACCAACUUGAACCAGAGUCUUGAAUCUGCAACUUUACUAGCUGUGGCUUCUUUUUAAUUGAUUAACUUUCUUUUUCUGUAAAAUGGGAAUAAUGAUUCCUACCUCUUACAAGCGUUGUGGUAGGAGGUAUUCCAAAUGAGAUAAAUAUGUGAAAUCACUAAAACUUCCAGAAUACAUGGAAAUAAUAUAUGUCUGUAUUGGCAAAUUAUGAGUGUAGUAAUGAGGGAUUUACAUGGACACAUUUACAUUCUUUAGUUCAGACUCCCUUUGACGACACAUAACAAACACACACAAGAAUAUUUGCCCUGUGUCCAGCACUCUUUUGAGAAUUUCUCUCUUCUCCUCCUUCUGAUAUCCCAACCAACCAACCAGUAGGAAUGUGCCCUAGAAACUAUGUUUUACAGCUCAGUCCACAUCUUUUCACCUUACAAAUUACUUAUUGUUAGUUUCUUGGGAAAGUAAAAUUGAGAUAUUAAGAUUCUAUGAAAUUGGUUGGUGGUAUUGAAGACUGUGCUGCUGCUGCUGCUACUGCUCCAGAACUCUAGUGGAGAUAUUACAAAUGGGAGCAGAAAAAGUGAGAAGGUGGUCUGUAGAGACAGAGCACAGCACAGAGGUAGAAAGGUUGAGAUAAAGAAACAAUGCAGUGAGAGAAGGAGAGAACACAGACAUAGAAACAGAGACAUAAAGGCACCAGACACGAGAGCAGAGAUAAUUUAAUAAGGCCGUAGUUUCUCUUGGAUUUCCAGUUCCUUCUUUUAGUCAAUUCUGAUAUUUAGCACACUGCACUGCACCAGAUAUCUUGUCGCCUUCAAAUAAAGUAUUUUUCCCCCUUAAACAUGCUAAU